RNAcentral lists this small RNA (786 nucleotides) under Pongo abelii (Sumatran orangutan). RNAcentral's name for it is "retained intron". The record is from RNAcentral. Lineage: Eukaryota; Metazoa; Chordata; Mammalia; Primates; Hominidae.
AUUUAAAAUGUAAAAAAUUAUGUGUUCAUUUCUACUGGAUUACUUUAGGAUUGAAAUAAACUAGUUCAUCAGACUUAGAACGUGGUCACCUUUGAUUGCCAUACUCCUUCAAGCAGUUUGAUAGAUACCAAGAAAGAAUUGAUGGUGCUGUUAAAUAUAUCUAGUAUAUCUCUUCUCCCAGCAAAGUUCCUGCAUUCGUGAGGAUGAUUGCUCCCGAGGGCUCCUUGGUGUUUCAUGAGAAAGCCUGGAAUGCGUACCCCUACUGUAGAACAAUUGUAACGAAUGAAUAUAUGAAAGAUGAUUUCUUCAUUAAAAUCGAAACAUGGCACAAACCAGACUUGGGAACAUUAGAAAAUGUACAUGGUUUAGAUCCAAACACAUGGAAAACUGUUGAAAUUGUCCAUAUAGAUAUUGCAGAUAGAAGUCAAGUUGAACCAGCAGACUACAAAGCUGAUGAAGACCCAGCAUUAUUCCAGUCAGUCAAGACCAAGAGAGGCCCUUUGGGACCCAACUGGAAGAAGGAGCUGGCAAACAGCCCUGACUGUCCCCAGAUGUGUGCCUAUAAGCUGGUGACCAUCAAAUUCAAGUGGUGGGGACUGCAAAGCAAAGUAGAAAACUUCAUUCAAAAGCAAGAAAAACGGAUAUUUACAAACUUCCAUCGCCAGCUUUUUUGUUGGAUUGACAAGUGGAUCGAUCUCACGAUGGAAGACAUUAGGAGAAUGGAAGAUGAGACUCAGAAAGAACUAGAAACAAUGCGUAAGAGGGGUUCCGUUCGAGGCACGUCGG